CCUACGGGAGGCAGCAGUGGGGAAUAUUGGACAAUGGGGGGAACCCUGAUCCAGCCAUGCCGCGUGUGUGAAGAAGGCCCUCGGGUUGUAAAGCACUUUCAGUGAGGAAGAACGCCUGGUGGUUAAUACCCAUCAGGAAAGACAUCACUCACAGAAGAAGCACCGGCUAACUCCGUGCCAGCAGCCGCGGUAAUACGGAGGGUGCGAGCGUUGAUCGGAAUUACUGGGCGUAAAGCGCGCGUAGGUGGCUUGAUAAGCCGGUUGUGAAAGCCCCGGGCUCAACCUGGGAACGGCAUCCGGAACUGUCAAGCUAGAGUGCAGGAGAGGAAGGUAGAAUUCCCGGUGUAGCGGUGAAAUGCGUAGAGAUCGGGAGGAAUACCAGUGGCGAAGGCGGCCUUCUGGACUGACACUGACACUGAGGUGCGAAAGCGUGGGUAGCAAACAGGAUUAGAUACCCGGGUAGUC
Molecule: ribosomal RNA, 465 nt
Filed under: Vreelandella stevensii
Lineage: Bacteria; Pseudomonadati; Pseudomonadota; Gammaproteobacteria; Oceanospirillales; Halomonadaceae
Description: partial 16S ribosomal RNA
Rfam family: Bacterial small subunit ribosomal RNA
Source: RNAcentral